Molecule: long non-coding RNA, 939 nt
Filed under: Pongo abelii (Sumatran orangutan)
Lineage: Eukaryota; Metazoa; Chordata; Mammalia; Primates; Hominidae
Description: lincRNA
Source: RNAcentral
CAGAGAGGGACAGAGACGGAGAAGUUUGACGGUCUGGAAAGCAGAGACCAGCAGGGCUGACUGCUUGGGAGCGCCUCUCGGGAGGUCCGAGAAGAGAACCGCGGUCUGUUUCAGCACCGGGGCUCAGGACAGUUCCCAGAGGGCUCCGUUUCGGCUCCAGAACCCUGGACAGCUCCCCCAGUAGAGACGGGGUUUCACCAUGUUGGCCAGGCUGGUCUCAAACUCUUGACCUCUUCAUCCGCCUGCCUCAGCCUCCCAAAGCGCUAGGAUUACAGGCGUGAGUCACUGCGCCUGGCCCAAGUCUGGAAUUUUCAACAGGACAUGGGUGUCACUGUGCCCACGUGACAUUUGGGGAACCCAAGGCCCUGAGAAAGGCAGAAAAAUAACCCACGCAGGGGCUCUCAGCCCACAAAUGAAGCUGUAAGUCAACCCCACCAGUCCAACUCCAAAUCCCAUGUCUCUGACGUGCCUGGGUGGGAGGUGGGCCCUUGGAGAUCAGACCCUGUCUCUCUCCAGGAGAACCGGGAAUGGAAAACAGGGAGGCAGUACAGAGGCAGGAAACUCAGGUGUCACAGCUUGGCUCAGCUUGGAAUGCACUCCCUCCACCUCCACCCAGAGCUCCCCACAACUGACCCUGCUUUCUUCUGCAAGCUCCAUUUCAUCAAGGGAAACGAUCCUUAUUGCCUCACCAUUUCCCACAUGAAGUCUGUAUUGACAUUCUCAUAGACCUGGGAUAUUGUGUCUGCAGCACAUAGUCCAAUUAUUUUCAUGUUAUCUACUGACAGCUCUAUUUGUCUCCCUGUUACACUGUGAGCUCCGUGAGGGCAGAAACAAUGUUUGUAUUUUCACUGCUGUGUCCCCAGUGCCUGGUCCGGGGCCCGGCACACAGCAGGCAUAUAAUAAGCAUGUGUUGAAUCAAUAAAGGCAUCAAAGAAUAAA